AACGAACGCUGGCGGCAGGCCUAACACAUGCAAGUCAAACGGCCCUUCGGGGCAGUGGCGCACGGGUGCGUAACGCGUGGGAAUGUACACCUUGGUAAGGAAUAACUGCUGGAAACGGUAGCUAAUACCUUAUAAUGACUCCGGUCCAAAGAUUUAUCGCCAAGGGAUCAGCCCGCGUCAGAUUAGAUAGUUGGUGGGGUAAUGGCCUACCAAGUCUACGAUCUGUAGGGGGUCUGAGAGGAUGAUCCCCCACACUGGUACUGAGACACGGACCAGACUCCUACGGGAGGCAGCAGUGAGGAAUAUUAGACAAUGGGCGAAAGCCUGAUCUAGCCAUGCCGCGUGAGUGAAGAAGGCCUUAGGGUUGUAAAGCUCUUUCAAUAGUGAAGAUAAUGACGGUAGCUAUAGAAGAAGCUCCGGCUAAAUUCGUG
This 431-nucleotide ribosomal RNA is filed under the name uncultured bacterium. RNAcentral describes it as "bacterial SSU rRNA". It matches the Rfam family "Bacterial small subunit ribosomal RNA", at positions 29 to 507 of the family's 1533-position model. The record is from RNAcentral.